This 468-nucleotide ribosomal RNA is filed under the name uncultured bacterium. RNAcentral describes it as "partial 16S ribosomal RNA". It matches the Rfam family "Bacterial small subunit ribosomal RNA", at positions 28 to 507 of the family's 1533-position model. The record is from RNAcentral.
GACGAACGCUGGCGGCGUGCUUAACACAUGCAAGUCGAACGGAAAGGUCCUGCUUUGGUGGGGUGCUCGAGUGGCGAACGGGUGAGUAACCCGUGAGUAACCUGUCCUUGACUUUGGGAUAACUUCAUGAAACUGGGGCUAAUACCGGAUAGGAGCUCCUGCUGCAUGGUGGGGGUUGGAAAGUUUCGGCGGUUGGGGAUGUACGCGCGGCCCAUCAGCUUGUUGGGUGGGUGGUGGCAUACCAAGGUCUUGACGCGUGGACGGCCUGAGAGGAUGAGCGGCCACGUUGCGUCGGAGAUGCGGCCCAGACUCCAACGGGACGCAGGGGUGGAGAGUAGUACCCUGUGGGAGGGGCGAUGGUGUGACAACGCCGCGUGGGGGAAAUCGGGAAUCGGGUAGUAAAGCAAUAUUGUCUGUGACGAGGCGUUAGUGACGGUAACGGGUGAAGAAGCACCGGCUAACUACGUG